Molecule: ribosomal RNA, 412 nt
Filed under: Bacillus thuringiensis serovar azorensis
Lineage: Bacteria; Bacillati; Bacillota; Bacilli; Caryophanales; Bacillaceae
Description: bacterial SSU rRNA
Rfam family: Bacterial small subunit ribosomal RNA
Source: RNAcentral
UGGGCGUAAAGCGCGCGCAGGUGGUUUCUUAAGUCUGAUGUGAAAGCCCACGGCUCAACCGUGGAGGGUCAUUGGAAACUGGGAGACUUGAGUGCAGAAGAGGAAAGUGGAAUUCCAUGUGUAGCGGUGAAAUGCGUAGAGAUAUGGAGGAACACCAGUGGCGAAGGCGACUUUCUGGUCUGUAACUGACACUGAGGCGCGAAAGCGUGGGGAGCAAACAGGAUUAGAUACCCUGGUAGUCCACGCCGUAAACGAUGAGUGCUAAGUGUUAGAGGGUUUCCCCCCUUUAGUGCUGAAGUUAACGCAUUAAGCACUCCGCCUGGGGAGUACGGCCGCAAGGCUGAAACUCCAAGGAAUUGACGGGGGCCCGCCCCAGCGGUGGAGCAUGUGGUUUUUUUCAAAGCAACCCCAA